GACGAACGCUGGCGGCGUGCUUAACACAUGCAAGUCGAACGGAGGGGCUCGAGCUUGCUGGCGUGGAUCAGUGGCGAACGGGUGAGUAACACGUGUGCAACCUGCCCCUGUCUCAGGAAUAAGAGCUGGAAAAGGCGGCUAUUACAGGAUACGAAACUGUGCACCAUGGGCUUCGAUAGGGAAGUACGGUGGUUUUGGAUUGGCUCGAUGCAUAACAGCUGCUUGGUGAAGUAAUGGCUCACCAAGGUGACGACGGGUAGCCUGCCUGUGCGGGCGACCGGCGACACUGGGACUGAGGCACGGCCCAGGCUCCUACGCGUGCGCGCAGUGGGGAAUAUUGCACGAUGGACGCAAGGCUGAUGCAGCAGCUCCGCGUGUGGUAUGACGGCCUUCGGGUUGUAAACCUCUUUCGGCAGGGAAGAAGCGAAAGUGACGGUACCUGCAGAAGAAGCCCCGGCCAACUACGUG
Molecule: ribosomal RNA, 468 nt
Filed under: uncultured bacterium
Lineage: Bacteria
Description: partial 16S ribosomal RNA
Rfam family: Bacterial small subunit ribosomal RNA
Source: RNAcentral